RNAcentral lists this ribosomal RNA (253 nucleotides) under uncultured organism. RNAcentral's name for it is "partial 16S ribosomal RNA". It matches the Rfam family "Bacterial small subunit ribosomal RNA", at positions 524 to 776 of the family's 1533-position model. The record is from RNAcentral.
UACGUAGGGGGCGAGCGUUGUCCGGAAUCAUUGGGCGUAAAGAGCACGUAGGCGGCCUGUCAGGUCGGAUGUGAAAACCCGUGGCUCAACUGCGGGACUGCAUUCGAAACCGGCAGGCUAGAGUCCAGUAGAGGAAAGUGGAAUUCCCAGUGUAGCGGUGAAAUGCGCAGAUAUUGGGAAGAACACCGGUGGCGAAGGCGGCUUUCUGGGCUGUGACUGACGCUGAGGUGCGAAAGCUAGGGGAGCAAACAGG